AUAGGAACCACAUACUAUAAGUACUAAAUAACAUCAUAUCCCUUCUAGUUUUCUAUUUACCAAAAAUCCCUUAAAAAUGAUGUUUGCGGGAUACAUAGUGUUGUGCACGGGAUACAUUAGGUUUGAUACAUUCCACAUAGCGGGAUACAUAGCGUUGUGCACGGGAUACAUGCGGGAUACAUAGGUAAAUAAGGGAUUUUUGAAAUUUUUGAAAUAAGUAGGGAUAAAUGGAUAUUAAGGUAAGUAAAGGAGUGUAGUUAAGUAAUUUGUCCAA
RNAcentral lists this long non-coding RNA (274 nucleotides) under Solanum tuberosum (potato). RNAcentral describes it as "long non-coding RNA (STUB_LNC006960)". Lineage: Eukaryota; Viridiplantae; Streptophyta; Magnoliopsida; Solanales; Solanaceae. The record is from RNAcentral.